RNAcentral lists this ribosomal RNA (498 nucleotides) under uncultured bacterium. RNAcentral describes it as "partial 16S ribosomal RNA". It matches the Rfam family "Bacterial small subunit ribosomal RNA", at positions 28 to 507 of the family's 1533-position model. The record is from RNAcentral.
GACGAACGCUGGCGGCGUGCCUAAUACAUGCAAGUCGAGCGAAGUUUUUCUGGUGCUUGCACUAGAAAAACUUAGCGGCGAACGGGUGAGUAACACGUAAAGAACCUGCCUCAUAGACUGGGACAACUAUUGGAAACGAUAGCUAAUACCGGAUAACAGUAUUUCUCGCAUGAGAGAUAUUUAAAAGUUGGUUAUGCUAACACUAUGAGAUGGCUUUGCGGUGCAUUAGCUAGUUGGUGGGUAAAGGCCCACCAAGGCGACGAUGCAUAGCCGACCUGAGAGGGUGAUCGGCCACACUGGGACUGAGACACGGCCCAGACUCCUACGGGAGGCAGCAGUAGGGAAUCUUCCGCAAUGGGCGAAAGCCUGACGGAGCAACGCCGCGUGAGUGAAGAAGGAUUUCGGUUCGUAAAGCUCUGUUGUUAGGGAAGAAUGGAUAUGUAGUAACUAUACAUGUAAGAGACGGUACCUAACCAGAAAGCCACGGCUAACUACGUG